GGCCUUUUGUUAAAUAUUUAAGGUCUAGCCUGCCCACUGAAAAUUUUAAUGGCCGCAGUAAUUUGACUGUGCAAAGGUAGCAUAAUCAUUAGUUUUUUAAUUGAAAGCUGGAAUGAAGGGUUGAAUGAGAAAAAAACUGUCUCUAUUUAAUUUAAAUAGGAAUUUUAUUUUUAAGUUAAAAAGCUUAAAUAUUUAUAAAAGACGAGAAGACCCUAUAGAGUUUUAUAAAAUUUAAAUAUUAAUAUUUUUAGAAUUAUUAUUUUUAAUUUUUAUUUUUUAUUUAGUUGGGGUGAUUGAAAAAUUUAAUAAACUUUUUUUUUAUAAUAACAUUAAUUUAUGAGUAUUUGAUCCGUUAUUUAUGAUUAAAAGAUAAAAUUACCUUAGGGAUAACAGCGUAAUUUUUUUUUAGAGUUCAAAUCAAAAGAAAGGAUUGCGACCUCGAUGUUGGAUUAAAAUUAAUUUCUGGUGUAGAAGUUAGAAAUAUUUGGUCUGUUCGACCAUUAAAAUUUUACA
This 513-nucleotide ribosomal RNA is filed under the name Brachyleptura rubrica. RNAcentral's name for it is "partial 16S ribosomal RNA". The stretch from base 386 to 513 matches the Rfam family "Bacterial large subunit ribosomal RNA", at positions 2473 to 2600 of the family's 2925-position model. Lineage: Eukaryota; Metazoa; Arthropoda; Insecta; Coleoptera; Cerambycidae. The record is from RNAcentral.